GGCUGUGUGGUCUAGUGGUAUGAUUCUCGCUUAGGGUGCGAGAGGUCCCGAGAUCAAUUCCCGGCACAGUCC
Molecule: transfer RNA, 72 nt
Filed under: Perkinsus olseni
Lineage: Eukaryota; Perkinsozoa; Perkinsida; Perkinsidae
Description: tRNA-Pro
Rfam family: tRNA
About the family: Transfer RNA (tRNA) molecules are approximately 80 nucleotides in length. Their secondary structure includes four short double-helical elements and three loops (D, anti-codon, and T loops).
Source: RNAcentral